Molecule: ribosomal RNA, 253 nt
Filed under: uncultured bacterium
Lineage: Bacteria
Description: partial 16S ribosomal RNA
Rfam family: Bacterial small subunit ribosomal RNA
Source: RNAcentral
UACGGAGGGUGCAAGCGUUAUCCGGAUUCACUGGGUUUAAAGGGAGCGCAGGCGGACUUGUAAGUCAGUGGUGAAAUACCUGAGCUUAACUCGGGAACUGCCAUUGAUACUAUAGGUCUUGAAUGUUGUUGAGGUUUGCGGAAUGGGUCAUGUAGCGGUGAAAUGCAUAGAUAUUCGCAAGAACACCAGUGGCGAAGGCGGCUCACUGGCCCGAUACUGACACUGAGGUGCGAAAGCUAGGGUAGCAAACGGG